UGGAUCCAGACUUUGAUCUGGCUCAGGAUGAACGCUAGCUACAGGCUUAACACAUGCAAGUCGAGGGGCAGCGGGAUUGAAGCUUGCUUCAAUUGCCGGCGACCGGCGCACGGGUGAGUAACGCGUAUCCAACCUUCCGUACACUCAGGGAUAGCCUUUCGAAAGAAAGAUUAAUACCUGAUAGUAUCUUAAGCACACAUGUAAUUAAGAUUAAAGAUUUAUCGGUGUACGAUGGGGAUGCGUUCCAUUAGGUAGUAGGCGGGGUAACGGCCCACCUAGCCAACGAUGGAUAGGGGUUCUGAGAGGAAGGUCCCCCACAUUGGAACUGAGACACGGUCCAAACUCCUACGGGAGGCAGCAGUGAGGAAUAUUGGUCAAUGGACGAGAGUCUGAACCAGCCAAGUAGCGUGAAGGAUGAAGGUCCUACGGAUUGUAAACUUCUUUUAUAAGGGAAUAAACCCUCCCACGUGUGGGAGCUUGUAUGUACCUUAUGAAUAAGCAUCGGCUAACUCCGUGCCAGCAGCCGCGGUAAUACGGAGGAUGCGAGCGUUAUCCGGAUUUAUUGGGUUUAAAGGGAGCGCAGACGGGUCGUUAAGUCAGCUGUGAAAGUUUGGGGCUCAACCUUAAAAUUGCAGUUGAUACUGGCGUCCUUGAGUGCGGUUGAGGUGUGCGGAAUUCGUGGUGUAGCGGUGAAAUGCUUAGAUAUCACGAAGAACUCCGAUUGCGAAGGCAGCACACUAAUCCGUAACUGACGUUCAUGCUCGAAAGUGUGGGUAUCAAACAGGAUUAGAUACCCUGGUAGUCCACACGGUAAACGAUGGAUACUCGCUGUUGGCGAUAUACUGUCAGCGGCUUAGCGAAAGCGUUAAGUAUCCCACCUGGGGAGUACGCCGGCAACGGUGCAACUCAAAUGAAUUGACGGA
This 923-nucleotide ribosomal RNA is filed under the name uncultured Bacteroidota bacterium. RNAcentral describes it as "bacterial SSU rRNA". It matches the Rfam family "Bacterial small subunit ribosomal RNA", at positions 1 to 917 of the family's 1533-position model. The record is from RNAcentral. Lineage: Bacteria; Pseudomonadati; Bacteroidota.